GGGGGGGGGGGGGUAGGGGGUGCAACAUGUAAUUCUAUUUUUUCCCUUCACACCCACCAGAUGGAUGGCACCCUGGACAACUGCCCUUGUCACCUAUGGCUAGAACUGGUCCUGCCUCCAGGAGUUCCACUCAAAAAACUGUUUGUCCAACUGCCACAGGGGAAGAAAGAAAAGCUUGUCAGACCAUCCAGCGCCAGCAUGGAGGGGAAGUCCUUGCAGUUGGAGACCCCGGUGGAGUCGGUGACGCAGGUCUUCCACAGGUUGGACCAGAACGUGGCGGUGGUGAUUACCGUGCCGUCUAUGGAGGACACCUUCCAGUAGUCCGUGGGCAAGGUGGAGGAGAUGAGCACCCAGCCCGAAACGCUCAGGAUGAAGGCCAGGAUCUCCGUGGCCAUGUUGCUCAUUUUCGCGCGGCGACGGUGGCGGUGAUUGGACGCUUUCAAGGGUGAGUGAGCGCGGCUGCUGGCUGUAGCUGCUCGGGCUCCAGGUGAGGCACUCUGUGGCUGGGAUCCCAGUUAAAGGCACAAGGUGGGGUCGCUUGGUGCCGGUGGUUAUAUGCGCUCAACUGAUUUAUAUUCAACUGGGAGGGCUUAGUUUCACAGCAUCAUCUUCCUGCUGACCAAUAGCCUUGGACUACCCCCCCCCCC
Molecule: long non-coding RNA, 647 nt
Organism: Anguilla anguilla (European eel)
Lineage: Eukaryota; Metazoa; Chordata; Actinopteri; Anguilliformes; Anguillidae
Exons: 2
Source: RefSeq, a predicted model, not a curated record